This is a long non-coding RNA of Callithrix jacchus (white-tufted-ear marmoset), 1802 nucleotides long. Lineage: Eukaryota; Metazoa; Chordata; Mammalia; Primates; Cebidae. The record is from Ensembl.
GAGGAGUUGGAAGGAGGUUGGGGGGCUGGGGAGGGGUUGGGAGGGUCCAGAAGGAAGUUGGAGGAGAUGGGGAGGGGUUGAUAGAGGCUGGUAAGGGGUUGGGGGCACUCUGAGGGUUCACAAUAUCCACAGAGGAUCACACUUAUUCAGCACUUCAUUUGUGCUGGGCAGUGGGCCAAGGAUUUGAUAUUAACUCAUUUAUUUUUCGAUCUGAUCCUAGGACACAAUUGUUUUCCCUUUAUAGACAAGAAAACGGUGGCAUUGAGCGGUUAAGUGGGUGACCUCCUUCAUGGGAGGUUCCCAGAGGCAGGAAGUCUGUGGGUUUGGGAGAGUGGCAGGGGGUGACACACCUGCACCUUGGUUCUGAGGCUCCUUUGGCCUGGUAGCUCCCACAAGGGGAUCCGCUGAGCAUGGACUCUGGGAGCCUCCCAUGUGGGACAUUGGCGCCGAGGCCCCCAGUCUUCUCCUGGCAGGGGCUCAGAUAAUGGGUUCAUUGGCCUGUCCAGUGAGAGCUGGGAACCAAAGGGCUCUGUGGACAUGCUCUGUGCUACCCAUAAACCCUUGCCUCCCUCCACUCAACCCUGAAAAAAUUCUUCCCAAGCAAAGAGCUCUGGUGGGUGGUGGCUUGACUUGCAUUUAAUUUCACAUAUAAUAAGUAAAGCAAGGAUUGUGCUAGAAUAAAACUCAUGCAAUGUCUGGGGCCACAGGAUUCUGGUAAGUUCGCUCCUGGGCCUCUCCUCCCCCACUGACCGUGUUCCAGGUCGCACCGUCCCUGGGCGAGCUCCUGGAGCUCCAUCCCAGCCUCUACCUGCUGCUGCCCCAGCUGCCUUCACUCCCCCAACAGUUCAAGUGGCCUCUUGCCUCAGCCUGUCUGAAUUGGGUUUGUUUAAGGAGAUUAAGAACCAGACUUGGCUUAACUCAGGCUGGCUCCAAGUUGUUAUUACCCCGCAGUCCCAAGCUUUAAGCCAGCCUGAACACAUUCCUGCAAGCCGCCAUGGGGAGAGAGCCACCCCUCCUGUAAAAACAGCCCUGUCACACUUCAUGGUCAGAGUUGUGGUUGUCAUUCUCCGUGUGACCUGCUAUCGUUGGCACCUGGUGCAUGGACCAGAGAAUGAGCAGGCUCUGCAGAGAAGAGAGCCUAGAUCCUGGGACCAGAAGACCUUGGCAUAACAGCCCAUUCUCAGGGCUGAUGUCUGCCAUAGGUCUGUGGAUUUCAGAUGCUCUUUUGUUCCCUUCAAAUUUUAAUGUAUUUGAAAGCAAAAGUCAUGUUAUAACAGAGCUGUACACUUAAUGAAGUGCAUUUUUUUGUUGGUCCCUAUGAAGCAGUUAUGAAAUCAAGGGUGAGUACCACAAUCAAUGGCAUUUGGGACUCGAGGAAAUUCUAUUUGUGGCCCUGGGUAAACUCUUUGCUUUUCUGUGUCCCAAUUCCCUUAUCAAUAAAAGGGUAGGGUUGUUGUAAAUAUUGGAGAUGUAUGUAAUGGCCGUAGUACAGUGACUUGUAGCUUUAAUUCAUCAAUAGAAAAUCUAUUCUGCAUUUCAUAAAAUAUGUGUCAGAUUAGUGUUUUGCUAGAAUAAUCCAUAUACUUGCAUGGCCAGUUAUAUAUUUGACCACUCAAUUUUAGAGAGCAAAUGAGAGAGAAGAUUUUGAGGGCUCUGUCUUCUUUACAUUUUAAUUAAUUCUGUCUAAAACCUCUUGCUCACAGCUGUGAGUCACCGGCAUAGCCAGCGGAGGGAGGCACCAUCUAACCCAGCACAAGGGUGCGCUCUUAAAGCUCAAUUUCCUUCACUCCUCCAUUUUCUAA